GUCAGGCACCAUGGCAUGCACCUGUAGUCCCAGCUACUUGGGAGGCUGAGGCAGGAGGAUUGCUGGAGUGUUUGAGGCAAGGAGUUCUGGGCUCCCAGGAGCAGGGGACCACCAGGUUGCUUAAGGAGAAGGGUGAACCAACCCAGGUUGGAAAUGGAGCAGGUCAAAACUUCCAUGCUGAUCAGUAGUGGGAUCGCAUCUGUGAAUAGCCACUGCACUCCAGCCUGGGCAACAUAAUGAGACCCUGUCUCAU
This 253-nucleotide signal recognition particle RNA is filed under the name Cebus imitator (Panamanian white-faced capuchin). RNAcentral describes it as "Metazoan signal recognition particle RNA (ENSCCAG00000013003.1)". It matches the Rfam family "Metazoan signal recognition particle RNA". From Rfam's summary of the family: The signal recognition particle (SRP) is a universally conserved ribonucleoprotein. The record is from Rfam by way of RNAcentral. Lineage: Eukaryota; Metazoa; Chordata; Mammalia; Primates; Cebidae.